This 490-nucleotide ribosomal RNA is filed under the name uncultured bacterium. Its description in RNAcentral is "partial 16S ribosomal RNA". It matches the Rfam family "Bacterial small subunit ribosomal RNA", at positions 28 to 507 of the family's 1533-position model. The record is from RNAcentral.
GAUGAACGCUAGCGAUAGGCUUAACACAUGCAAGUCGAGGGGCAGCAUGGUCUUAGCUUGCUAAGACUGAUGGCGACCGGCGCACGGGUGCGUAACGCGUAUGCAACUUGCCUCACAGAGGGGGAUAACCCGUCGAAAGACGGACUAAUACCGCGUACACUUGGGAUAGGGCAUCCUGACCCAAGGAAAUGAAAUUCGCUGUGAGAUAGGCAUGCGUCCCAUUAGCUAGUUGGUGAGGUAACGGCUCACCAAGGCGACGAUGGGUAGGGGAACUGAGAGGUUGAACCCCCACACUGGUACUGAGACACGGACCAGACUCCUACGGGAGGCAGCAGUGAGGAAUAUUGGUCAAGGGGCGAGAGCCUGAACCAGCCAAGUCGCGUGAAGGAUGACUGUCUUAUGGAUUGUAAACUUCUUUUAUACGGGAAUAACAAGAGCCACGUGUGGCUCCCUGCAUGUACCGUAUGAAUAAGCAUCGGCUAACUCCGUG